GGACUACACGGGUAUCUAAUCCUGUUUGCUCCCCACGCUUUCGUGUCUCAGCGUCAGUCUUCGUCCAGUUGGCCGCCUUCGCCACCGGUGUUCCUCUCGAUAUCUACGAAUUUCACCUCUACACCGAGAAUUCCACCAACCUCUCCGAGACUCGAGCCAGACAGUAUCGGGUGCACUUCCCGAGUUGAGCCCGGGGCUUUCACAUCCGACUUGAAUGGCCGCCUACACACGCUUUACGCCCAGUAAUUCCGAACAACGUUUGCACCCUCUGUCUUACCGCGGCUGCUGGCAC
This 292-nucleotide ribosomal RNA is filed under the name uncultured bacterium. RNAcentral describes it as "partial 16S ribosomal RNA". The record is from RNAcentral.